Molecule: ribosomal RNA, 253 nt
Filed under: uncultured bacterium
Lineage: Bacteria
Description: partial 16S ribosomal RNA
Rfam family: Bacterial small subunit ribosomal RNA
Source: RNAcentral
UACGUAGGGGGCUAGCGUUGUCCGGAAUCAUUGGGCGUAAAGAGCGUGUAGGCGGCCCGGUAAGUCCGCUGUAAAAGUCAAAGGCUCAACCUUUGAAUGUCAGUGGAUACUGCCGGGCUAGAGUCCGGAAGAGGCGAGUGGAACUCCUGGUGUAGCGGUGAAAUGCGCAGAUAUCAGGAAGAACACCCGUGGCGAAGGCGGCUCUCUGGGACGGUACUGACGCUGAGACGCGAAAGCGUGGGGAGCGAACAGG